This 253-nucleotide ribosomal RNA is filed under the name uncultured bacterium. RNAcentral describes it as "partial 16S ribosomal RNA". It matches the Rfam family "Bacterial small subunit ribosomal RNA", at positions 524 to 776 of the family's 1533-position model. The record is from RNAcentral.
UACGAAGGGGGCUAGCGUUGUUCGGAAUCACUGGGCGUAAAGCGCACGUAGGCGGAUCUUUAAGUCAGGGGUGAAAUCCCGAGGCUCAACCUCGGAACUGCCUUUGAUACUGGGGAUCUCGAGUCCGGGAGAGGUGAGUGGAACUGCGAGUGUAGAGGUGAAAUUCGUAGAUAUUCGCAAGAACACCAGUGGCGAAGGCGGCUCACUGGACCGGAACUGACGCUGAGGCGCGAAAGCGUGGGGAGCAAACAGG